ACUCCAUUCAUCAAAACAAUUCCAAAGAUCAGACAAUGUGAAGUAUUCAAUUUCCUCUCUUUCUUUAGGAUGCCAAAGCUUAUUAAGGUUUCUAAUUUCACUCUUGGCAAGGAACUGUGAUGCAACUAAUGGUGUUGUAGAACCCAAAAAAGACUCAAGAUUUGAUUGCAUUGAGCCUUUCUCCAUUGUUUUCAAAGGGGAAAAUGAACAAACACAAAGAGAGCAAGAGAGAAAGAGAAAUGAAACUGAUUGCUUCUCUCUCUCUUUCUAACUAUAUGAUGAUAAAAAAAAAAA
Molecule: unclassified non-coding RNA, 294 nt
Filed under: Hevea brasiliensis (rubber tree)
Lineage: Eukaryota; Viridiplantae; Streptophyta; Magnoliopsida; Malpighiales; Euphorbiaceae
Source: RNAcentral